CCUGCUGAAGCAGAUCAGGGUUUCAAUUCAAUAAAAGUUUUUUUGUUUGUUUGUUUUUUGUUUUUUUUCUGAGCACCUAGUGAUAUCAGGAACUCAAACUAGGCACUAAAAAGCAAAGGAGAACAGACUAUUCAAUGACUGUAGCAGGUAGCAGUGACCAGAAGGGCAGGAGAAAGAAGAUACCCAACAGAUUUCAUUCUUUCCCUUGGUUAACACAACACUCGGAGCAUUUGCAGAAAUAGAUGUGACUCACAUGGGGAUUUAUCACACAGCUGAGGGGAAUCCACAAUAUGGUCUGCCUCAGUAUAAACAACAGAAAAGAAAAAAACUUGGGAUACUUUCACUGGCACAAAUCAAAAAGAAACAGUUUGAUUUAUCCAUGAAAAUAUUAGUAUUGUCCUCCUUCACACUACCAAUGGCUGACAGUGGAAAAUGAUGGAUGCUGAAGAUGUAAUCUUUUCCUUGAAACCUUCCUCAAACACUCUGUGAAGGUAAGAAAGCCCAACAUAAUAUAAUUCAUCCCGAAUGGUUGUCUGGAUUUCAAAUUCAGUGAUUAAAAGGUUAGAUGAACUAUAUGAAGAGCUGAGCUGAAUCCUUCAGAGGCACCUGACGAC
Long non-coding RNA from Cebus imitator (Panamanian white-faced capuchin), 614 nucleotides. RefSeq lists it as uncharacterized. The record is from RefSeq and is a predicted model, not a curated record. The transcript has 3 exons. NCBI's taxonomy places the organism in Eukaryota, Metazoa, Chordata, Mammalia, Primates, Cebidae.